Mastomys coucha (southern multimammate mouse) is the source of this 482-nucleotide long non-coding RNA. RefSeq lists it as uncharacterized. NCBI's taxonomy places the organism in Eukaryota, Metazoa, Chordata, Mammalia, Rodentia, Muridae. The transcript is spliced from 2 exons. The record is from RefSeq and is a predicted model, not a curated record.
ACACACACACACACACACGAAUGUCUUGCAGGCUAAGGUCUUGAUAAUAUAAUAAUGGCUAACACCAGUCCUGUUUUUAUUCAAACCAUGAGGCUAUCUCAGCUGGUCUUCAGUAUACAUUGUCUGGAAUCCUGAAGAAAGAAGCUGUAAUGCUUGUAAAGGAAUGAAUUGGAUAUCAAGAGAAGAGCAAGGACAAGCAAGCAAAGAAGAAAGAACUUCCUUCUUGCAUGUUCUAUCUACAGGCUGACACAAGAGGUUUUGGCUCAAAUUAAAGAUCAUACCUCUAUAAGUGAAAUCCUGUAUGUAUAUGUUUCAUACAAUUGGAAGAAAAUCGCUGCAAUGUAAAAAUGAAUAUGAGCUAUAUUGAGAGGUGAGAAAUGUACAAGAUUUUGGAAUGGAAGGAGAGUGUGCUUAGUACUCAGUAUAUACUUCAAGAUAUACCUUGUCCAGUUAAUUAAAAACUCAAAAAUAAUUAUAGCACA